Molecule: ribosomal RNA, 292 nt
Filed under: uncultured bacterium
Lineage: Bacteria
Description: partial 16S ribosomal RNA
Rfam family: Bacterial small subunit ribosomal RNA
Source: RNAcentral
GUGCCAGCCGCCGCGGUAAUACGAAGGGGGCUAGCGUUGUUCGGAAUUACUGGGCGUAAAGCGCGCGUAGGCGGCUAUACAAGUCAGGGGUGAAAUGCCAAAGCUUAACUUUGGAACUGCCUUUGAAACUGUAUAGCUUGAGACUCGGAGGGGAUAGCGGAAUUUCUAAUGUAGCGGUGAAAUGCGUAGAUAUUAGAAGGAACACCGGUGGCGAAGGCGGCUAUCUGGACGAGUACUGACGCUGAGGCGCGAAAGCGUGGGGAUCAAACAGGAUUAGAUACCCUAGUAGUCC